AGAGUCACCUGCCUCUGCCUCCUGAGCGCUGGGAUUAAAGGCAUGUGCCACCAAUGCCCAGCUCAAAAGCAAUCGAUUUUUAAAAAGAACUUUUGUUAAUAGAUUGCACUAGAAUUCUGGAAAUAAGGCUACUUGAUAAAUAUUUACUACACCAUUGAAGUCUAUUAAUUAACAUUUUACUUGAAACUUGCACUGAUGUUGGUCAUAGGCCACCAUUGAGGGCAGACAAGGUGCAACUCAAGCAGGAACUUGAAGCAGCAACCAUGGAGAAUGAUGAUUCCUGGCUCACUCAGAUUUAUACUUAGGUAGCUACUUUACACAACCCAGGACCACAUAGCCAGGGGAUGCUGCCACCUACAGUGGGCUGGGCCCAGCUGCACCAGGUAACUAUGAAGGGGAUCCCCACAAACAUGGCCAGAGGCCAGUCUGAUCCAGUCCCUGUUGACAGAUGACUUUUGGCUAUGUUUAGCUGAUAAUUAAAGCUAACUAGGGUAUUCCUUUUCCCCAAUUCAUUUCAGUUAAGUAGCUCAUCCCUCCCCCUUUUCUUGGACAAGUUCCUUGCUUAACAAAGUCUUCUGUUUCUAUUCACUAAGCAGUUUCUACUCUCGCAUUUGUUAAUCCCAUCUAAUUUUAGCUUAUUUUGUUAUUUUCUUCUGAGAGUUCUGAGUUUAAUGUCAGGUUCAUUGUUUCACUUUAUUUAUUUUUAUUUUGCUCACAUAGAUAUUUACGAUAUGAGUCCUCCUAAGCAUUAUUCCAACUACACUCCAUAGACCAUGACAUCUAAUGGCUUUACUACUGCUAUUUUCCCAGAAUUCUGUAUCUUAUGCCUAUUUAUUUUCUUGAUCCAAAAAUUGUUUUGAGUUUUCAUAUUUCUGGGAUAUAAAGUGCUAUAGUUUGUGUGUAUCCCCUCAAAACCAUACACUAAGACCUUAGGUAACGGUAGUGCAAGGCUUGUGUAGCUCGGUGGUCCAGCACGUGUAGAGCAGUCUGGAGGUACCAGCACUGGGACUAAGAAGAACAAUAUUAACAGCAGGAGCAGCAGCAACACCCCUCAUAUGUAUAUAUAAAUAUUCAUCCUUUGGGAAGCCACUAUGUAUCAGGGCAAAGACUCCUAAAAUGAGAUUAAAAUAAGCCCCACAGAGCUGUCAUGACCAGGAGAACACAAAAAGCUCUCCCCAUUACUAAACACGCUCCCUUAAUUAUAGGCUUUCAAGCUGCUAGCACCAUAAUACAUAAAUUUCUGUUAUUUAUAAACCACCCAGUUUAUGGGAUUUUUGUUACAAUGACUCAACAGAUGAAGACAAAGGGUCUUUAAAAAUGAAUUAAUAACCUAAUAAAUGCUUUGAACCUUGA
Long non-coding RNA from Mesocricetus auratus (golden hamster), 1353 nucleotides. RefSeq lists it as uncharacterized. The transcript has 2 exons. The record is from RefSeq and is a predicted model, not a curated record. NCBI's taxonomy places the organism in Eukaryota, Metazoa, Chordata, Mammalia, Rodentia, Cricetidae.